This 329-nucleotide ribosomal RNA is filed under the name uncultured eukaryote. Its description in RNAcentral is "partial 18S ribosomal RNA". It matches the Rfam family "Eukaryotic small subunit ribosomal RNA", at positions 1470 to 1796 of the family's 1831-position model. The record is from RNAcentral.
CCCUUAGAUGUUCUGGGCCGCACGCGCGCUACACUGACGGAGGCAGCGAGCGUGUCCUUCGCCGGCAGGUGCGGGCAAUCUUGCGAGUCUCCGUCGUGCUGGGGAUAGAUGGUUGCAAUUGUCGAUCUUGAACGAGGAAUUCCUAGUAAGCGCGAGUCAUCAGCUCGCGCUGAUUACGUCCCUGCCCUUUGUACACACCGCCCGUCGCUACUACAGAGUGCCCGUGUCCAAGAAACGGUCGGACCUGUGCGGCCUCUCCGGGCGACCGGAGGGCCGUUACGGGGAAGACCCUUUAUGUGACGCGGGUCGAGGAAGUAAAAGUCGUAACA